GGAGGAUUCGCAUAGUGGUCUAGUGCACCACCUUGGAAAGGUGGCAUACCUUAACGGGUAUCAGGAGUUCGAAUCUCCUAUCCUCCG
RNAcentral lists this transfer RNA (87 nucleotides) under Minisyncoccota bacterium. Its description in RNAcentral is "tRNA-Ser". It matches the Rfam family "tRNA". Rfam says of the family: Transfer RNA (tRNA) molecules are approximately 80 nucleotides in length. Their secondary structure includes four short double-helical elements and three loops (D, anti-codon, and T loops). Lineage: Bacteria; Bacillati; Minisyncoccota. The record is from RNAcentral.